Molecule: long non-coding RNA, 1399 nt
Organism: Mya arenaria
Lineage: Eukaryota; Metazoa; Mollusca; Bivalvia; Myida; Myidae
Exons: 4
Source: RefSeq, a predicted model, not a curated record
AUAAUGAAAGUAUAGCAUUUACAUACGAAGUCAUUUUACCCUACAUCCAAUAGUAAGCUACACCACAUGUUUGCACCCCGUGUGACGUCACACAUAUCCCGGCAUUCAAGACUGACCCGGCAAACCCCGGCAAAGAACUUAUUUUAUGAAUGAAAGCUAUUAAGAAAUAAAUCAUACGCGGUUAAAGAGUUCAUGUCAUGUAAUAUUUUGUUAAAUAGCUUUUAUGUUUCAAAUGAUUUUUUUCAGCAGCAAUCGAACUAUUGUAUUUGUUUGAGUAAAUUAUUUUGAUUAUACCUAUCACAGUGUGUCAACGUUAUGCCUAUUGUUAUUUUGAACUAUAGGGUGUAGUUUUUAAAGUCAUACACAAUAUGGCGGCGAUUAUGCGGAAAUGAAAUUGAAUGUUACUUCGAACACGUUCUUCUACAAAAUAACCUACCUGUAUUUAGUGCUAUUGCUUUAACAUCAAUCGAAGCAAAAAUGGCAUCAAUGUAUGCGUCUAAAAAUAAUAAAUUUAGAUGGAGACAAUCCAGAAAUGAGCUGCCAGGAAGUGAUCGAUUUCGGACACGAAGAUUGAGAAGUGCCUGGAUACAAGGCUAGUAUUGUUAACAUCAUCUGAUACAAUCAACUGGAACAAAGCUGAAAUGGCUGCCUGACCUGACUUAAAAAUUGGAUGGCAGUACAUCAGACUAGAAGAUUACAAGUAUUGAGGUGGACAAAAUGAAAGCAGAGCCUACCAAAGCUGACAGAUUGCACAAGAAACACAUAAAUGCAGAUUGGAAGAUUCAUUCUCUGGAAAGUAGAAAAGGGCAUGUUACAUACUGUUAUCAUUGCCAUGACAGAAACCAUAUUGAGGAGCUGGUCCACCUGUAGGAAGAAUUGCGCUAUUGGUUGGAGCAGCACUAUUACCCAGCCAUACACCAGCACUUAGUUUGUCAUAGGGAGCAUUUCUGAGCAGUUAUGGAGACCACUAACUAUGCAGUUGUUGCAGUGAAACUUGCACCAGUGUGUUUUCUGUGGAGAUAAAGAGAUAGUGUCCAGCAAUGAAGACCCAACUCAAGAUCUGACCUUGUAAGGCCAAUAUGAAAUAACUGUGUGGGAAAAUGGGAAAAACCUGCAGUCAGGAAUGCACGGAAAUCAUCAAAAGAACAGUGUUAAAUUAAUCUUGAAUAACUUGACAUUUAUUUUGUUUGACAUAUUUAUUCAUGGUGCAGUGAAAACAUUCUCUUUUUCUCAUGGUUAUUUAAAUUUAGAAUUGAUAGGAGGGAACAUCACUAUGUAGUUUCAUGUUCAUAGUCAGAUCAAAACCCAUUUACAUGCCCAAAUGAGCAUUCGAAAAUAUCAAAAUGGUACUUGUUGUAUGUAGUGUAAGUUAAUUAACGUAAUAAACAAAAAUAUUUAA